CUUCAACGAGCCCAGCCACAACGGCCGGUCCUCCGACCGUUCCCGACCAUAGGUGGCGAUCAACGCCUGGGCCUC
This 75-nucleotide antisense RNA is filed under the name Streptomyces sp. LamerLS-31b. Its description in RNAcentral is "ASpks TB sRNA". It matches the Rfam family "ASpks TB sRNA". RNAcentral also lists the same sequence under 1 other name. The record is from RNAcentral. Lineage: Bacteria; Bacillati; Actinomycetota; Actinomycetes; Kitasatosporales; Streptomycetaceae.